RNAcentral lists this ribosomal RNA (497 nucleotides) under uncultured bacterium. RNAcentral describes it as "partial 16S ribosomal RNA". It matches the Rfam family "Bacterial small subunit ribosomal RNA", at positions 28 to 507 of the family's 1533-position model. The record is from RNAcentral.
GAUGAACGCUGGCGGCGUGCCUAAUACAUGCAAGUCGAGCGAACGGACGAGAAGCUUGCUUCUCUGAUGUUAGCGGCGGACGGGUGAGUAACACGUGGAUAACCUACCUAUAAGACUGGGAUAACUUCGGGAAACCGGAGCUAAUACCGGAUGAUAUUUUGAACCGCAUGGUUCGAAAGUGAAAGACGGUCUUGCUGUCACUUAUAGAUGGAUCCGCGCUGCAUUAGCUAGUUGGUAAGGUAACGGCUUACCAAGGCAACGAUGCAUAGCCGACCUGAGAGGGUGAUCGGCCACACUGGAACUGAGACACGGUCCAGACUCCUACGGGAGGCAGCAGUAGGGAAUCUUCCGCAAUGGGCGAAAGCCUGACGGAGCAACGCCGCGUGAGUGAUGAAGGUCUUCGGAUCGUAAAACUCUGUUAUUAGGUAAGAACAUAUGUGUAAGGAACUGUGCACAUCUUGACGGUACCUAAUCAGAAAGCCACGGCUAACUACGUG